UCUCCAUCUCAGGUCACACAACUGUGGAGAAAAAGUGACACAGAAGUGGUCGUUUCUGUGGUGCCCUCUCAAAUUAUCGGGCACAACUUUGUAAUUCACCACAGUGAGUUUAGAACACUAAGGCCUCACCAGUGGCUUGUAGGCGAGGUCAUUGAAAGCCUCCUUCACCACACUGCCACUAAACUUAAUUUGGGAAGCACCAUUUACAUUCUAAGCCACUAUGUGGCUGGGGUGAUCCUCUUUGGCAAGAGAGAGGAUGUAAGGCGA
This is a long non-coding RNA of Solea senegalensis (Senegalese sole), 267 nucleotides long. RefSeq lists it as uncharacterized. NCBI's taxonomy places the organism in Eukaryota, Metazoa, Chordata, Actinopteri, Pleuronectiformes, Soleidae. The record is from RefSeq and is a predicted model, not a curated record. The transcript is spliced from 3 exons.